Molecule: long non-coding RNA, 2653 nt
Organism: Scophthalmus maximus (turbot)
Lineage: Eukaryota; Metazoa; Chordata; Actinopteri; Pleuronectiformes; Scophthalmidae
Exons: 3
Source: RefSeq, a predicted model, not a curated record
AUCCACAUUUUGCAGCCUGUUUGUGACACAGUAACAUUUUUCCUGCCUCCAGUCGGAUAGUUGAUGACGUGGAGAAGGACUUUAAACAGUGGCACGCUAACAUUUAUCCCCUCUUUCAUAUGCUCGAAUGCUGAAAGAUGUUAGGGCCUGUUAGGCUUUUCCCUCCCUUAUUCUAUUAUUUGGAGAGCGUAUCUGCCAGGCAACACGUGCACUGCAUUUGUUCGCCAGCAGAUGGCAGUCUGGAUUUUUAUGGCUAUGAUAAAAAGAGGAGGGAUCAUUGGGAGAUGAGACUGAGAUGCUUGAUACAUAUAUAUUUCAUGUUUUACACUGUAGAUCUGAUCAGGGUCUUCUAACUGGCAUAAUCACGUAGUUAUCUCUAUAUUAGAUGAUGUAUUUGAUAUGUUAAAAGAGGUGAACAGGCAUUAACCGGUCAGCCUUUGCUAAAUGUGUAUGUGAUCCCUUUUGCUUACAGGUAGUAAUAAUAAAGCACACAAUCCAGAGACUAAAAAAGAAAUUAAUCUUUGUGUAUAUACCAUGGCAUUUUUUGCAGCAACGACACUCAACUACUCUGCAACAUUUUUUACAAUUUGAAUUGUGUAAUAAUGAUGGAAAAUUAUAUGUUUAAGCUUUGAGGGUCCAUAAAUAUCAAUGAACUCGACAUCAUAAGAAUGAUCUCAUGGCUUAGAGAAUAGGACAAAUGCAUGUGCAAAAGUAAAUGUAAAAUAUCUCAAGACGUCAGUGGGUGAUCUUCUCUCAUUUUCACUUAAAUAUAUUUGAUAAUUAUGAAAUAUGAUGCAGUACAUAUCUUCAUUGCUUUGAUUUGCUUUUUUGCUGAGUUUAUACUAAAGAAAACUUAAGUCCGUAUUUGGAUAUAUACUCACAAUAUAUUUGUCGAUGUAUAAUGAAAACCUUUGACCGUAUGGUUACAACUACACAAUCUGGUCAGGUUGAAACAAAUGUGUGUUCUGCUAAGGAUUACCAUCCAUCACUAAUGCUUCCCUUCAUCUGCUUUUAUUUUAUCUUUAAAAGCUUCUGAAUUCCAGAUUCUAUUAGUAACAUCUUUUCUAAUGGCAUGCUCGAUGCUAAUUCAAGGGUUUAUUGGUAAAACAAAUACCUCAACUCUGAGCUCAACCUCCUAAGCCGACAAAGCAAUAUAAAACAAAAAGUCACGCUCCCCAGUCUCUUUUCAGGAAAAAGCCCUCUGCCUGCUCCCCUGCAGUGAGCAUUUUAGAUGCAUUAUGAGGCCUUUGUAAUGCAUAAUGGUCGAGUCAAAGGGCCUCCCAUCUCCAUAUUCAUUAAAAGGGCAAUAAGACAAAAGACAGGAAUGAAGGAAUUUUAGGAAUACUUAAAUUACAUAGUUUGAUAAACAUAAAUGGGACAAAAUACUAGAGACAAAAAAUGGGAAAAGACAAAAAGAAAAGUCUUCAUUAUUAAACUUAUUGCAAUGAAUAGUACACUGCUUUCUUGAGUAAUCUCUUGCAUGUAUGAUCAUUUUCUUUAUCAGAUUCAUUGACUUCUUACUCCCCCUCAAGCUCCUCACACACCGUCCGUGUCAUGCUUCCUCCCUCCUUCCCUGGACUGUGCCUCUCUCCGUCUCUGUGACCAGUCUAUAACCACACUCUCGCAGCACAACACCUCCACCAACUCCAGCUCGGCUCCAUCAGAUAUGCCAGAUUCCGACGAGGCCGCGCCAGCGCCAUGCCAGAUUAUCAAAACCAAGGUUGACAAAUGUUUCAGAGAGAAGAGACCGGAGGACUGUAGAGAUCUGAUAGUUGCCUUCCAGGUCUGCAUAAAAACCCUGUCGGAGGGAUCAUAGUACAUAAGGAAAUACAUAUUAUUCAAAUCUUCAAAUUCCUCUAUUCUCUCAUCUACCCUCUCCUCACUUAUUGUAAUGGACCCAAAAGUGAGGGGGGGGGGGGGGGACUCCAGACACUAUAUGCUUCUCUGAAUGUGAAUUUUCCUUUCAUAAAUUAUGUAAUUCCAUUAAGCAUUAUUUUAUAAAAACUGAUUAUUGAUGCACUCUAUUUUAUUAUGCACAAAAUACUCAAUGCAAUAAAAAGUACCACACACACAAUAUACUUUCAAAAAAAUAUUCUGCAAUUUAAUGAUUUGUUUGAUCUACUGUUUGUUGGAACCUCUCUGCCUUACAUUCAUCUGGAGUAGAUGCUCUUAAUGGAAUUACGAAGAUCUUGUUAAUCUCUGCUUAAUCCUCACAUUAGUACCUGCACCAAGCGGUCUAAUGUCAAUUUCACAGUCUGAGCUCUGGAAACGAAUGUGGGAAUGCACAAAGAUUAGACUGGAGCAAGGAGCUUGAAAAGUUUUUCUUCUUGAGCCGUCUGUUCUCAGUAUAAAUGGGCGGUGACAAGGUGUGUGCUAUAGAACAACCACCUGUGUAAUUCUGGAGCGCAGACUGAUCCUGGUGUCCUAUGUUUUCAUCCCCCAGCUUUCCUUGCUGGACUCCCAUGUUCCCCUCAGUCGUAUGUUUUAAACACCAGUGAGAAACAAACACACAAAGCAUGAUUUAUCAGUUUAUUAGGUUUUUUUUUACUCUCAUAAGGUAAGAGGAUAAUUUUUUUCCUACAAGGUGUCAUUCACAACACUGAUGAACCAUUUUUCAUUGCACUGAAAAAUCUUGAUCUCAAAAGACCAUCAG